AGAGUUUGAUCCUGGCUCAGACGAACGCUGGCGGCGUGCCUAACAUGCAAGUCGAACGAGAAAUCGGGCGCUCAGGCAACUGAGUGCCGGAGAGUAAAGUGGCGCACAGGUGAGUAACGCGUGGGUAACCUACCCUUGAAUCUGGAAUAACCCCGCGAAAGCGGGACUAAUACCGGAUAUGGUUCCAUUAGCCCAGGCUUUUGGAAUUAAAGGUGACCUCUUCAUGAAAGUUGCCGUUCAGGGACGGGCCCGCGUACCAUUAGCUUGUUGGUAGGGUAAUGGCCUACCAAGGCGACGAUGGUUAGCUGGUCUGAGAGGAUGAUCAGUCACACUGGAACUGGAACACGGUCCAGACUCCUACGGGAGGCAGCAGUGAGGAAUUUUGCGCAAUGGGGGAAACCCUGACGCAGCAACGCCGGCGUGAGCGAAGAAGGCCUUCGGGUCGUAAAGCCUCUGUCAAGUGGGAAAAAAGUCUUUCGGUUAAUACCCGGAAAAUUUGAUGGUACCAUUGAAGAAGCACCGGCUAACUCCGUGCCAGCAGCCGCGGUAAUACGGAGGGUGCAAGCGUUGUUCGGAAUUACUGGGCGUAAAGGGCGUGCAGGCGGUUUGGCAAGUCAGAUGUGAAAGCCCUGGGCUUAACCCGGGAAGUGCAUUUGAAACUGCCUUUCUUGAGUAUGGGAGAGGAGAGUGGAAUUCCCAGUGUAGAGGUGAAAUUCGUAGAUAUUGGGAGGAACACCCGUGGCGAAGGCGACUCUCUGGACCAAUACUGACGCUGAGACGCGAAAGCGUGGGGAGCAAACAGGAUUAGAUACCCUGGUAGUCCACGCCGUAAACGAUGAGAACUAGGUGUAGCGGGUAUUGACCCCUGCUGUGCCGAAGUUAACGCAUUAAGUCUCCGCCUGAGAGACGGCCG
This 913-nucleotide ribosomal RNA is filed under the name uncultured Pseudomonadota bacterium. Its description in RNAcentral is "bacterial SSU rRNA". It matches the Rfam family "Bacterial small subunit ribosomal RNA", at positions 9 to 873 of the family's 1533-position model. The record is from RNAcentral. Lineage: Bacteria; Pseudomonadati; Pseudomonadota.